This is a long non-coding RNA of Oncorhynchus keta (chum salmon), 2310 nucleotides long. RefSeq lists it as uncharacterized. The record is from RefSeq and is a predicted model, not a curated record. The transcript is spliced from 3 exons. Lineage: Eukaryota; Metazoa; Chordata; Actinopteri; Salmoniformes; Salmonidae.
CACUGAAAUGUAAAAAGUAUGACACUCCCCUUCAAUGAAAUGUAAAAAGUAUGACACUCCCCUUCACUGAAAUGUAAAAAGUAUGACACUCCCCCUUCAAUGAAAUGUAAAAAGUAUGACACUCCCCCUUCACUGAAAUGUAAAAAGUAUGACACUCCCCCUUCAAUGAAAUGUAAAAAGUAUGACACUCCCCCUUCAAUGAAAUGUAAAAAGUAUGACACUCCCCCUUCACUGAAAUGUAAAAAGUAUGACACUCCCCCUUCACUGAAAUGUAAAAAGUAUGACACUCCCCCUUCACUGAAAUGUAAAAAGUAUGACACUCCCCCUUCACUGAAAUGUAAAAAGUAUGACACUCUCCCUUCACUGAAAUGUAAAAAGUAUGACACUCCCCUUCAAUGAAAUGUAAAAAGUAUGACACUCCCCCUUCACUGAAAUGUAAAAAGUAUGACACUCCCCCUUCACUGAAAUGUAAAAAGUAUGACACUCCCCCUUCAAUGAAAUGUAAAAAGUAUGACACUCCCCUUCACUGAAAUGUAAAAAGUAUGACACUCCCCCUUCAAUGAAAUGUAAAAAGUAUGACACUCCCCUUCACUGAAAUGUAAAAAGUAUGACACUCCCCUUCAAUGAAAUGUAAAAAGUAUGACACUCCCCCUUCACUGAAAUGUAAAAAGUAUGACACUCCCCCUUCACUGAAAUGUAAAAAGUAUGACACUCCCCCUUCACUGAAAUGUAAAAAGUAUGACACUCCCCCUUCACUGAAAUGUAAAAAGUAUGACACUCCCCCUUCAAUGAAAUGUAAAAAGUAUGACACUCCCCCUUCACUGAAAUGUAAAAAGUAUGACACUCCCCCUUCACUGAAAUGUAAAAAGUAUGACACUCCCCCUUCACUGAAAUGUAAAAAGUAUGACACUCCCCCUUCACUGAAAUGUAAAAAGUAUGACACUCCCCCUUCACUGAAAUGUAAAAAGUAUGACACUCCCCCUUCAAUGAAAUGUAAAAAGUAUGACACUCCCCCAUUUUCCUCCAAGUAAACAUUCUGUAAAUGUUGUUCCGUCCCUUACAAUGGGAGACCAAUAACUCACGAAAGCAAAUCAUACACCUUUACAGUCCCUUACAAUGGGAGAGCAAUAACUCACGAAAGCAAAUCAAAUGGAAAUGUUUGUAAGCGUCAGCUAGUAACAGUGUUAACAUGCCAAUCUUAGGGAGAAAAAAAAAAUCUGGUUUGAUGCAUGCCAGCAAUUCUAAACAAUACAUUAAAUGCAGUUAAUGCACUAUAACUGUGACAAACGGUGCCCACAAACGUUUAGGGUCUACAUAAAGCUGUCCCGAGAGAGGAGCUUAUGGCUGACUUGAUUAAAUAAAUAUGGCGUCUAAUGACUCCUUGUUGAUUUGUGUAACUGGAUAAGAACGGCAUUCUCCUUCAAUAAAAAUGACCGUCGACGUGAGUUUAGACUUUUUGAACCAAACACACAAACAUUAUGACAUUUGAUGUUCAGUAAAUUCACAAUGUUUGUUCUUAUACCAUUAACACUUAGCUCUGAGUAUAAGCAAGUGCAUGACAAAUGAGCUGCGACGAGGUCGGCUUAUUGGUCCAGUAAUAUCUAAAUGGACAGCGACACAAAUUCAGCUAGGUGUUAGAUCAGAUACAUUCAGCUAGGUGUUAGAUCAGAUACAUUCAGCUAGGUGUUAGAUCAGAUACAUUCAGCUAGGUGUUAGAUCAGAUACAUUCAGCUAGGUGUUAGAUCAGAUACAUUCAGCUAGGUGUUAGAUCAGAUACAUUCAGCUAGGUGUUAGAUCAGAUACAUUCAGCUAGGUGUUAGAUCAGAUACAUUCAGCUAGGUGUUAGAUCAGAUACAUUCAGCUAGGUGUUAGAUCAGAUACAUUCAGCUAGGUGUUAGAUCAGAUACAUUCAGCUAGGUGUUAGAUCAGAUACAUUCAGCUAGGUGUUAGAUCAGAUACAUUCAGCUAGGUGUUAGAUCAGAUACAUUCAGCUAGGUGUUAGAACAGAUACAUUCAGCUAGGUGUUAGAUCAGAUACAUUCAGCUAGGUGUUAGAUCAGAUACAUUCAGCUAGGUGUUAGAUCAGAUACAUUCAGCUAGGUGUUAGAUCAGAUACAUUCAGCUAGGUGUUAGAUCAGAUACAUUCAGCUAGGUGUUGAGGCCUUAACUUUACUCUUCUUUAAGACACCACAAAGAGGCCUACCUUCAAACUCAGUGCCUCUUUGCUUGACAUCAUGGGAAAAUCCAAAGAAAUCAGCCAAGACCUCAGAAACAAAAUUGCUGGCCUCCACAAGUCUGGUUCAUCCUUGGG